GCAAGUCUGGUGCCAGCAGCCGCGGUAAUUCCAGCUCCAAUAGCGUAUAUUAAAGUUGUUGCAGUUAAAAAGCUCGUAGUUGAACUUUGGGCCUGGGCGGACGGUCUACCUAUGGUAAGCACUGUUGCCGCCGGGUCUUUCCUUCUGGCUAGCCCUCGGGCGAACCAGGACGAGUACUUUGAAGAAAUUCUAGUGUUCAAAGCAAGCCUUUGUUCGGAUAUCUUAGCAUGGAAUAAUAAAAUAAGACUCAAGGUUCUAUUUUGUUGGUUUCUAGGACCAUCGUAAUGAUUAAUGAGGACGGUCGGGGGCAUCAGGGUUCAGUCGUCGCAGGUGAAAUUCUUGGAUUGACUGAAAACUAACUACUGCGAAAACAAUUGCCAA
RNAcentral lists this ribosomal RNA (381 nucleotides) under uncultured bacterium. RNAcentral's name for it is "bacterial SSU rRNA". It matches the Rfam family "Eukaryotic small subunit ribosomal RNA", at positions 555 to 961 of the family's 1831-position model. The record is from RNAcentral.